AGUGGACAUAGUUUAAU
This 17-nucleotide transfer RNA is filed under the name Limnodynastes tasmaniensis. RNAcentral's name for it is "partial transfer RNA-His". The record is from RNAcentral. Lineage: Eukaryota; Metazoa; Chordata; Amphibia; Anura; Limnodynastidae.